Molecule: ribosomal RNA, 118 nt
Filed under: Pogona vitticeps (central bearded dragon)
Lineage: Eukaryota; Metazoa; Chordata; Lepidosauria; Squamata; Agamidae
Source: RNAcentral
AAAAACUACCAUACUGCCCUGAACACAUCUGAUCUUGUCUAAUGUCAGAAGCUAAGCGGGAUCUGUCUUUCUCAGGACUUGGAUGGAAGACCACCAGGUAUCUCAAGUACAGCUAGGC